CCUACGGGCGGCAGCAGUGAGGAAUAUUGGUCAAUGGACGAGAGUCUGAACCAGCCAAGUAGCGUGAAGGAUGACUGCCCUAUGGGUUGUAAACUUCUUUUAUAUGGGAAUAAAAUGUUCCACGUGUGGGAUUUUGUAUGUACCAUAUGAAUAAGGAUCGGCUAACUCCGUGCCAGCAGCCGCGGUAAUACGGAGGAUCCGAGCGUUAUCCGGAUUUAUUGGGUUUAAAGGGAGCGUAGGUGGAUUGUUAAGUCAGUUGUGAAAGUUUGCGGCUCAACCGUAAAAUUGCAGUUGAAACUGGCAGUCUUGAGUACAGUAGAGGUGGGCGGAAUUCGUGGUGUAGCGGUGAAAUGCUUAGAUAUCACGAAGAACUCCGAUUGCGAAGGCAGUUCACUGGACUGCAACUGACACUGAGGCUCGAAAGUGUGGGUAUCAAACAGGAUUAGAUACCCCAGUAGCC
RNAcentral lists this ribosomal RNA (460 nucleotides) under uncultured bacterium. Its description in RNAcentral is "partial 16S ribosomal RNA". It matches the Rfam family "Bacterial small subunit ribosomal RNA", at positions 338 to 795 of the family's 1533-position model. The record is from RNAcentral.